RNAcentral lists this long non-coding RNA (5879 nucleotides) under Fragaria vesca (wild strawberry). RNAcentral's name for it is "long non-coding RNA (FVES_LNC000784)". Lineage: Eukaryota; Viridiplantae; Streptophyta; Magnoliopsida; Rosales; Rosaceae. The record is from RNAcentral.
AAAGCGAAGGCAUCUUGCUAGCUAACACAACCCUCGGGGCGGAGAACCGGACGACCAGUAACGUUCUGUCCGCCGAUGCCAAUUCGUUGUCCUACGCAAGAACAGAGCCUGAGAUGUUGAGGAUUGUGUACGGAACCGGCAAUGAGCACCUUUCCGGAGGAUUUUUCCCCUUGGGUGCAAACGGCAAAAUUGCAAGGAGCCACCUCCUUAUAUAAUACUCUUUGAUGGGAUCUUUCCUAGCAUCUAUGCUACCUAGCUAAUAACAAUAAUAUAAAUAAGGGUGAUAUAUAUGAUACAUACUACACGAGAAUAAUUAGCAUUCAUAUAUGCAUUUGAUUAUGUAUCGAUCAUAAACGUACAAAAUGAUUAAUCGAAGUGUUCUCAUUUACAUUACACCGAGCAAUCGUAUAUAUAUUAUACUUGUGCCUAUAUAUAUAUAUAUAUAUAUAUAUAUAUAUAUANNNNNNNNNNNNNNNNNNNNCUCAUCCUCCCUGUGAUUCCAUUUUUGAGGAGUGGAGGUCCGGUGAGAGAGAAAAGGAGGAAAGAAGGCGAUUGGGUUUUCGAUCGGAUUUCCGAUACCGGCGGACGGGGGCGAGCGUGACCGGUAUUGGCAGCUUGAUCUCGUUCUCCCUGACGUCGCUGUGCUAUUGGAUUUUCAUGGGAAGCUGAGGAGAGAGAGAUUCAACGAAGGGAAACUUUUCUGGGUUGCCGGCGAGUUCUCGAUUCCGGCCACGGCGGCGGGCGUGGAUGGUGUUGGUAGCUUUGUCUCGGUCUUGUCGACGUCUCUGUGCCUUCAGCUUGCAGAGGUGAGGUCCGGUGAGUGAGAAUCGAUGUAAAGGAGUGGUUUGAGUUUUCCGGCGAGGGUUCAAUGCUUUCCGGCCACCGUCGUUGGCAAGUGAGGUAUUAAACAUGAUCUUAUCAUCGAACUCUAUCUUUCUGUGUAGUUACAUUUGAGGUUGGUUGGGAUUUGAAGAAAUUGGGUUUUGGGCAGUGGAGGACCGCCGUGUAUGCUACUGUACACGGCGGCGUUGAUGAUGCUUUGGGUUUUGGAGUAGCUAUCUUUCAUAUUGAUAGAAGCUUUGGAAUAUAAUCUCCUGGUUGGUUGUAAUUGAAUUUGAGGCUGUGAUUAUUGAGAUUGAUGUGUGGGUUGUUAUUUUGGUGAAAUGAGAAGGAAUGGCAGUAAGGGGGAGGUCGGACUAGCGGCUGCAUUCUCGGUCAAGGAAUUGAAAUUGAGUAUUCAGCUGUGUUAUGAUCAACCUGAUAUUAAGGAAGGACAAGGAGAAAUCGUGGUAUUGGAAGAAAGGAUGUUAACUCGCACCUUGUUAAUUAACUGGUGCUAUCAAGUUUGGUGUAGUCAAUUGAAUUAUGGAUUUUGUGAGUUGUGAGUUGUAUGAUCGUGAUGAUUUGCAUGGUAGUCACUGUGUUGAAAAGCUGAUAUUAAUAUUGAAUAUAUAAAGGGAAGAUGCUAAUUAAAUCAUUGCUGUAUAAAUCACGAUCAGAGCCUGAAGUUGCUUGUAUAUUACUGUUAGACAGUUGUUGGAUUUAGUAUAAUGUUAGGAAAGUUGAUGGGUAGUGGUUUUGGGUGUCCAUAGAAAAAUCAGAGAUAGGUUAGUAAUUGAAGUGUUGAUAUGAGCAAGCCUAAAGGUGAAUUGGAAUGUGACGAUGAAUUUUAAUAUGAGUGAGCAUGGUAUGUAAUUAGGAAACUAUUGGAGAAAGUGAGAGGAAGUGUGGGAUUGAGAACUUGGGUGUCCUUAUCAAUUUGAGGACUUACACCCAUACAAAUUCUAGAUUCGAUACAGUUGUUGUUGAAGGUAGAGAAUUAGUAUAAAAUGUUGAACUACGAGUGGCUUGAUCACUUUAAAAGAGUACGUAGGCAGCCCGAUUAAGUUUUGGGUGCAGCCGCAAAUUAACAAAAUAAAUUUAGGUUCCAAACGCGUCAAACAUGUUCGUUGUUUUUGUUUGAUUAUGAGAUCCUAUCUCAUUUUCGAUUUAGGAUUUCCUUAUUUAUUUUAUUCAUUUAUUUUUUUUAACACCUGGGUCAGGGUGUUACAUAAGUGCAUAAAGUGAUUAAUGGGUCAAAAGUCAGUGACCAUUUAUGAUAUUUUGCCUAUUAGAAAAGAAGGAGGGUUUCGCAAGCCUUUGUUAGAUAUCAACCGUCAGAAUUUUGCAAAACUAGCUAAUGGAUCGAACAGGUAGGUUUCACCUUGAUCCUGCCAUUUGAUCCAUAUGCAGACUCACUGAAGUUUCUUUUGGCAACCUACUUGAUCCCUUAUGUUGGAGAAAAUGGUUAUGUUGGCACAGUUUCUUACCUUAGAAAAAGAAAAUAUUGUAGAGUAAGAACUCAUCUCUCACUUUCGAGAAAACUCCAUCCGUAAAAUUAUUCUUAUUACGUGAUAUUAAGUAACUUAAUAUUGAGUUUGGACAUAUAUCUACUGGUCAAUCAAUACUGUGGUUUCACAAGUUUAAAAACGAUAAACAAUAUUCACAUACGUGAGUGCGGUCAUUCCACACGCAUGCGUGCGUGCAAGAAGGCUAGUAUAGACUAAUUACAAUUUUUACAGGGUAGUUCUUGUUGUAUAUAUAGUUGGCUGCAUCACUGUUGGCGGUUGAGGCGGGACAAGAUGCAAUCGUACGUGCAUUUCUGUAUCAAAGAGCCUAUGAGAAGGUGCAGCCCUAUAACCUCACAGUGGCUCAUUUUACAAACCGUAUUUCUAUGCUUAGGAACGAGCUUGGAAUGUGUGGGAUCAAAGAUGAAGGCAUCAUAGUGCCGGAAGAGCUCGGGGCCGAGAAUCGGACGUCCAGUAACAUCAUAUCGGCCGAUCCUAGCUCGCUUGCGUAUGCAAGAACACCGCCGGAGAUAUUGAGGAUUGUUUACUCAAGUGGGAAUGAAUCACUGCCGGGAGGAUUUUACCCUGAAGGUGCAAAUGGGAAAAUUGCAAGGAGCUUCCUGAAGAUCAAGUAACACAACUAUAUCUCAAGGCCAUUAUCAGAUUGCCUGCUAAUNNNNNNNNNNNNNNNNNNNNUAAUUUGUAUGUUAAAGAGCAGUCUCAGUGAUAGAUUUUAGAAUUAAAUUUAGUUUACCUCCAUGAAGUUUGGGAGUAACUUCAUGUUAAUUCCUAUACUUUCAAUUUCAUCAGUUUACCUCUCAAACUUUUGAAUUUUCCUCAAGCGUGACCAAAUGUCCUAUAUUCUGUCCAAAUCGGAUGUUAACUACUGAUAAUUUUAACCAUAACUGUGAGGCUAGUAUCUAGAAUUUGGGCAAAUCGGACCUUAUAUGUCCAAAUCGAACCUUAACUGCUGAUAAUUAAAGGUCAAUUCAAGCGGAAUAUGAGAAUUUGGGCACGGCAGACAGAAAUUGAAGAGUUCAAGGGGUAAACUGAUGAAAAUAAAAAUGUAGAGACUAACAUGAAGUCACCCCCAAACCACAAGGGGGUAAACUGAAUUUAAUUCUAGAUUUUAACAGAUAAAUAGAUUCAGGACUUGUUCAUGUUCACUCGUGGUUAACUUUGGCUUUAACCUUUCUUGUUAGUCAAUGUUGGAUAAUAUAUCCAAGGGUAAUACAAAACAAAAGCUUGAACGUUGUUAAAUUAACCUACGUACAGCGCGGUCCAUCUGAUACCAAACAAGUAGAAGUAGUAUACUACUAUACGUACCUCUCAACUUAUAUAUAGAGGGAUCGAUGAUAGGGUUUGCGACCUUGAGUUUAAGAUGGUAGGUGGGUUAAUUAGUUAUGGGAGAAGAGUGUAGGGAGGCCGAGCCUUCGCUCUGCUUACCUAGGGAUAUAAUAUAGAAAAGUAAUUUUGACACUCUUACAACUUCCAUUCCAUUUUAACCACAUAAAACUAUGUACCACAAUCAUUAAUUACCGUAGUUGUCUUUACAAGUAAUUGAAAGGUCUUGAAAAUACUUGAUCGUUGAGUUUUGGCUUUGGAUACUAACAUUCUUCGACCAAGCAAUUGUUUUGAAUAACUCGUGAACUUAAAGUUUUCAACAAAUUAAUAAGCAAAUAAACCAUUAAAAGUGGAUUCAUGAAGGAUAAUAAGUCGAUUACUAGCUCGCAAAAAUUGGACUUCAAUGGCUUUCAAAAAUAGAGUUAAAAUCAAUUAGCAUCAAAUAAUUAGGCAUGUGAUGGUACCAUUAUAAUGAUAACAAGUACACAAGGGUGUCACAUAAUGUGGGUUUACGGAUUACCAAGAUCACGCAUCUUUAGCAUUGUGUAUAUUUUACGAGAUUAUUUUGUUAAGAAUCAUGGAUUACUAAAGCUAAAAUUGCAGAUAAAAAACGAAAAGAAAACGCAGAGAAGACUGAAGGCUACAUUGUGUUUUUGAAUGCGGAAAAAAGAGGCUAGGUUACAACAAUUAAUUGCAUAAUCCUAAUUUACAAUCUUUUGGUACCACAAAUUAAAUCCAAUUAACCAAUUACGUACUCUCUCAGCAACUGCAUGGGGUUCGGGCACGUCUAUAUAAACCCAGUAAUGCAUGCUUCAUUCACUCGUACUAACACCAUUACAGCAUUUGCUUCCUGCUUUCGUCGAUCAAUAUGGCUCCUUCAAUUUCCACUUUCUCUUCUGUCUUCCUUGUUCUUCUUGCACUGUACCUCAACCUCAGUCAUCACCAUGUCACGAGUACUCUGGUUACUAUUAGUCCCCCUAGCUGCGCACCCAUUAAUGCAGCUGAUGUUGAUCGCAUGCAGUUUGCCUGAACUUAGAAUUCUGUCAAGCCGAGUACUUUCUGUACGGCGCUACUGGCCAAGGCCUCGACAGCUAUGCUCCGGGUUUGUCCGGAGGUGGUCCGCCUCCCAUCGGUGCUCAGAAGGCCAUGCUUCUCGACGACCCUGAUGUUGCUCGCACCAGUGAGGAGAUUGCUUAUCAACAAAUUGGUAACAUCAGGUACCUGUUCGUUGAGAUAUUGUCUUGUAACCAAUAGACGUAAACAAAUCUACACAAGAUACCACCUCGAUCAGUCACACUAUUUGUUGCUAGCUACUAUAUUACGACUUGACAUAUGGUAUUGUUAUAUAUAUUUCAGGUCUAUUGUUCAGAAUGGAGGAGGAAUUCCAAGGCCUCUACUGAAUCUCGGACUCGUAAAUUGGGGAUUAUUUUUUGACCUAGCACUGAAGACACCUCUAAUCCCUCCAUUUAAUCCAUACGCGAACUCACUCAAUUUUCUGUUAGGCGCCUAUGCCAUGCCUGAUCUCGCACAAAUCUCCUAUGUCAGCUCCAUUCCGAGCCUCACCACAAAUUCUUCUUCAUUAUCUGUGAGUAUUAAGAACUGGGAUUAUCGAUCGUACAUGUAAUUAACUUACUGCAUGUAAUUAACAUUUAUUUCCUUUUUCUUUUUAUGGGAAUCACUUAUAGUUGGCUGCAAAGCUUUUGGCGAUCAAGGCUGGACAAAGUGCGGUGCUACGUGCGUUGUUGUAUCCGAAAGCGACUCAACUGGUGCCUCCAUAUAAUUUCACGGUGCGUGAGUUCACCAAGGCCAUUUCCCAGCUCACUAACGACCUUGGCAAGUGCGGCAUCAAAAGCGAAGGCAUCUUGCUAGCUAACACAACCCUCGGGGCGGAGAACCGGACGACCAGUAACGUUCUGUCCGCCGAUGCCAAUUCGUUGUCCUACGCAAGAACAGAGCCUGAGAUCUUGAGGAUUGUGUACGGAGCCGGCAAUGAGCACCUUCCCGGAGGAUUUUUCCCCUUGGGUGCAAACGGCAAAAUUGCAAGGAGCUACCUCCUUAUAUAAUACUCUUUGAUGGAAUCUUGCCUAGCAUCUAUGCUACCUUAUAACAAUAAUAUUAAUAAGGGUGAUAUAUAUGAUACAUGCUAAAUAGACUACACGAGAAUAAUUAGCUUUCAUAUAUGCAUUUGACCAUGUAUCGAUCAUAAAC